UGAGGAAUUUUGCGCAAUGGGGGAAACCCUGACGCAGCAACGCCGCGUGGGCGAUGAAGGCCUUCGGGUCGUAAAGCCCUGUCGGGCGGGAAGAACGCUCUUGGUCGAAGGACUGGGGGGUGACAGUACCGCCAGAGGAAGCACCGGCUAACUCCGUGCCAGCAGCCGCGGUAAUACGGAAGGUGCAAGCGUUAGUCGGAAUUACUGGGCGUAAAGGGUGCGUAGGCGGUUACAUAAGUCGGGCGUGAAAUUCCGGGGCUUAACCUCGGAGCUGCAUUCGAUACUGUGUGACUAGAGGAAUGGCGGAGAAAAUGGAAUUCCAUAUGUAGCGGUGAAAUGCGUAGAUAUAUGGAAGAACACCUGUGGCGAAAGCGGUUUUCUAGCCUCCUCCUGACGCUGAGGCACGAAAGCAAGGGGAGCAAACA
Molecule: ribosomal RNA, 425 nt
Filed under: uncultured prokaryote
Description: bacterial SSU rRNA
Rfam family: Bacterial small subunit ribosomal RNA
Source: RNAcentral